CUCGGAUCAGGUAGGAAUACCCGCUGAACUUAAGCAUAUCA
This 41-nucleotide ribosomal RNA is filed under the name Tolypocladium inflatum. RNAcentral describes it as "partial 28S ribosomal RNA". Lineage: Eukaryota; Fungi; Ascomycota; Sordariomycetes; Hypocreales; Ophiocordycipitaceae. The record is from RNAcentral. RNAcentral also lists the same sequence under 2 other names.